This 456-nucleotide ribosomal RNA is filed under the name uncultured bacterium. RNAcentral's name for it is "bacterial SSU rRNA". It matches the Rfam family "Bacterial small subunit ribosomal RNA", at positions 28 to 497 of the family's 1533-position model. The record is from RNAcentral.
GACGAACGCUGGCGGCGUGCUUAACACAUGCAAGUCGAACGGUGAACCAGGGCUUGCCCUGGGGAUCAGUGGCGAACGGUGAGUAACACGUGGGCAACCUGCCCCUGACUCUGGGAUAACUCCUCGAAAGAGGUGCUAAUACCGGAUACGACCACUUCGGGCAUCCGAUGGUGGUGGAAAGAAUUUUGGUCAGGGAUGGGCCCGCGGCCUAUCAGCUUGUUGGUGGGGUAACGGCCCACCAAGGCGACGACGGGUAGCCGGCCUGAGAGGGCGACCGGCCACACUGGGACUGAGACACGGCCCAGACUCCUACGGGAGGCAGCAGUGGGAAAUAUUGCGCAAUGGGCGAAAGCCUGACGCAGCGACGCCGCGUGAGGGACGACGGCCUUCGGUUGUAACCGUCUUUCUAGCAGGGACGAAGCGAAAGUAGACGGUACCUGCAGAAGAAGCACCGGC